AUUGAACGCUGGCGGCAUGCCUUACACAUGCAAGUCGAACGGCAGCACGGGAGCUUGCUCCUGGUGGCGAGUGGCGAACGGGUGAGUAAUACAUCGGAACGUACCCAGUAGUGGGGGACAACGCACCGAAAGGUUCGCUAAUACCGCAUACGACCUACGGGUGAAAGCGGGGGACCGUAAGGCCUCGCGCUAUUGGAGCGGCCGAUGUCUGAUUAGCUAGUUGGCGGGGUAAUAGCCCACCAAGGCGACGAUCAGUAGCUGGUCUGAGAGGACGAUCAGCCACACUGGGAAUGAGACACGACCCAGACUCCUACGGGAGGCAGCAGUGGGGAAUUUUGGACAAUGGGGGCAACCCUGAUCCAGCAAUGCCGCGUGUGCGAAGAAGGCCUUCGGGUUGUAAAGCACUUUUGUCAGGGAAGAAAUCUUUCAGGCUAAUACCCUUGGAAGGAUGACGGUACCUGAAGAAUAAGCACCGGCUAACUACGUGCCAGCAGCCGCAGUAA
This 503-nucleotide ribosomal RNA is filed under the name uncultured bacterium. Its description in RNAcentral is "partial 16S ribosomal RNA". It matches the Rfam family "Bacterial small subunit ribosomal RNA", at positions 30 to 523 of the family's 1533-position model. The record is from RNAcentral.